This 20-nucleotide unclassified non-coding RNA is filed under the name Mus musculus (house mouse). RNAcentral's name for it is "oocyte_clustered_small_RNA7820". The record is from RNAcentral. Lineage: Eukaryota; Metazoa; Chordata; Mammalia; Rodentia; Muridae.
AGCAUGCUCUGCAGGCAAGC